UACGGAGGGUGCAAGCGUUAUCCGGAUUCACUGGGUUUAAAGGGUGCGUAGGAGGUCAAGUAAGUCAGUGGUGAAAUCUCCAAGCUUAACUUGGAAACUGCCGUUGAUACUAUCUGUCUUGAAUAUUGUGGAGGUGAGCGGAAUAUGUCAUGUAGCGGUGAAAUGCUUAGAUAUGACAUAGAACACCAAUUGCGAAGGCAGCUCGCUACACAUAUAUUGACUCUGAGGCACGAAAGCGUGGGGAUCAAACAGG
RNAcentral lists this ribosomal RNA (253 nucleotides) under uncultured bacterium. Its description in RNAcentral is "partial 16S ribosomal RNA". It matches the Rfam family "Bacterial small subunit ribosomal RNA", at positions 524 to 776 of the family's 1533-position model. The record is from RNAcentral.